Molecule: long non-coding RNA, 2087 nt
Organism: Mytilus californianus (California mussel)
Lineage: Eukaryota; Metazoa; Mollusca; Bivalvia; Mytilida; Mytilidae
Exons: 5
Source: RefSeq, a predicted model, not a curated record
CUUCUUCGUACAAAGGUUACUUGCGAAAUAACGAACAAGACACGUAUAAAAGGAGUUGGACAGAUUGCAACUCCCUCAAAGCUGCAGUGUUACAUACAUCAACAGUCUAUUAACUUAGUUAUUUCAAACAGAGGGAAAACAUAGAAAUGGACAAGCUGUCACUCGUAACUUUAAUUGCCUGUCUUGUAUCUAUUAGUAUAGUUAUGCAAGGAGCUGACGCGCAAGAUUGUGCUACUCCAAAAAUAACCGCAUGCACCACAACCUACACCGGCGCGGUAGCAGGGGCCGCAGGAGACAAGAAGAAAAUAUGCAGUGCAGCAAAUACCUAUCUAGAUUGUUUGAACAAAGUUGUCACUGACUGCAAAUUGGAUUCCGGCACUUCUGUUAUAAGCCAAACCAUCGCUGCUGCGAAACAGGCCCUUUCCCAGUAUGGAUGUGGAAGUGGAAAUGGUGCUGGAAGUCAUGUUUUCAACUUGGUUGCAAUGGUUUCAGGACUUACAUUUUAUAGCUGUUUUAGAUGAAAUACUUUAAUUUAUUUGUAGUUACAAAUCUACACGUAAAAUAUUUAUAAAACAAAAUUCAAACAAAAAUACGAACAAACUCUUAUAUGGAUACUUUCAGAUAUUGUUUAUUGUCAACAUUAACUUCUGAAAUAAAUGAUUUGUACAGUUUUUGAUAAUUUUCUUUUUUUCUGUUUUUUUAAUGAUUCUUAGCUGUCAAUUUUCUCCUUUGCAAUAUCUUUGUACGUUUUGGCAGUUAAGUUUAUUAACAGGUUAUAUGCAUUCCCAUGGACAACAAUUACGCCCCUUUAAUAGCAGAAUGUUCCUGAAUUGUUAUGAAUCACUGUCUAUUCUGCUUUUAAUUGAUAGAUUUGAUAACACUUACCGUUACCUUGAUGAUAAGUUUGAUUUAGAUAAUCCAGUUUUUUUUUAUAUUACUGUGGAAAUAAACCAAAGGGAGCUUGCUUUACAUUUUAUUACAUACAGCAUUAAUUGUCCUUUUCUAUAUUUGGAUAUUUUAGCUUCACAUUGGAAACUAUAUAUACAAAUGUACGACCAAAAAAAAUGUUUUUUCGUUCCCUAUUAUGGUCGGUGAUAUUCCUUUGACCCCUCCUUAAGGUGUGUAUAUUCCAAACUUGUUCGCUAUUCUCGUGUCAGUAAAUGCGUUUUAGAUGACAAUGAGCGAAAUAUUAAGUAAAUGAUUUCGUUACCACAAAUUAAUCAAACUGUUACUAAAUUCCUUUAUAAAUCCAAAGACUUCUCAGAAAGUUUGGCUGUACCUGUAGAAGAGAGGCGAAAGAUACCAAAGGGACAUUAAAACUCAAAAGUCGAAAAUAUUUUGACAACGCAAUGGCAAAAAAAAAAACCAAGACGAUAAGACAAACAACAGUACAAAAGCACAACACAGAAAACACUAAAGAGUGGGCAACACGAACCCCAGAAGAACUUAGGGCGAUUUCAUGUGCUCCGGAAGGGUAGGCUGAUCCUGCUCCACUAGUGACACCCGUCGUGUUGCUCAUGUUAGUAUAAACGGUUAUAACUCUAAUUUGAUAGGUUCCAUUCAGAGAGGGAAGACGGGGGUUGGUUAUUAAAAACGGGAGAUAGCAUCCUAAAUUUUACGGUUAUAUUGUUUAUAAGCAAGUUUCUUUUUACACGUUCUAUCUGAUCUACAGAUGGAUAUUUUGUAAACAAGAUUUUUAUUUGAGAUUUUAUAAAUUUUCACUCCCUCCAUCCCCUUUCACCACCUUAAGCUUUUUUGUUCAUUUUGAUGUUUGUUAGAUGUACAUUUAUACUUGUUAUUCAUUACAAUUGUAUUUUGUAGAUAUACAUAUUUUAAGUUGUGAGCAUCUUCAUUUCUAAAUGCUUAUGUUGCAGGUGUUACACUUAGCAUUUCAAUAUUUUUAUAUGGCUUGGCUUAGUUGACCCCUUCCUAGGCCACGCUAUUGUAUUCUGUAUAAUGAUAUUAUCGUUUUAUGUUUUUUGUUCAUUAUUAUCUUGUUGUACAAAUGUAUAUGUACAAUGUAUUUAUUGUUUAUUUUUAUAUGAAAACAAUUUUUACUCUGAAUAAGUAAACAAUUCACAAUUCAC